UUUAAAAUUUUGCAUGUUUUUCUUUUCAACUGGAUGACAAAGAUUUACAAACUGGAAACAAUGUAAGCAUAACACAAAAAAAUAUUCCAUUUUUUAAUGGAAAACCAAAAUGUGAAAGUUAUGAGUUGCUGCUUAGGAGGUUCAGUUCAGAAAAGUUUGGUACUCAUAUUUUAUUCACCGUAAUUACUGUACAUCUACAUCAUACUUAAGUGCACGCUGGUAUUUUCUUUGGCUUCAUGAAAAGGUGUGCUUCCUUUGUGGAUGUGUAUUCAUCCUUGAAGUAGUGAAAAUGAACAGUGCCUCUUGGGUAACCAAUUUGAAAUGAACUGAAUUUGAUCUUAGUCCCUUGCGUGGUUUCUCUCAUCCCUGCUUCUUUCUAUACUGCCAAGUAGUGAUCCAGUAGGAGUUGACUUACAGAAUAGUGGUGCUGAGGACCAGUUUUAGACGGUGAGGAGUUACUUUAGGUAAGCUCUAAUUUGCUCCCAUUGACUUACUGCCCAUUAGCAGCUGGAGCACAUCUGCUGCUUUAGUUUCAUCCAGAAGGAGUCCAGUUUGUGUACUCUGAGGUUGUUCUUGGAUGUGAAUCGAAGCAUAGUAAGUGCUUCGAAAGCUUACUCUUGAUCCAGACUACAUAAUGCAUUUAUGUAUGAAGACUAAGCAGACACACCUCAUGUUGCCUUAGAGAAGUUUUCUUACUUAGAGCUUUUCUUUGCUUCUGUCUUGUCUUUCUUUCCCAAUUAGAUUACUGCCAUCUUAUUCUCCUCUAAUAAUUUUCUCUUGUGCUGUAAUAUUUUCUCUUUCCCGCAUAAUUCCAUCCUUGGUCUUUCCUCAAUUCAUUUGGGCUAGUGCUAUACCCUUUAUUUUAAAGCAAGAAAAGAGGCAUUUCUUUGGCAUAUGGCAGAAGAUAUAUCAUCUAUAACAUCAUAGUCAAUCAUGCAAACAAAUAUUUCCAGUCUGUAAAUUAGUCUUCUUUAUUAUGGUUAUUAGAAGUAGCAGCUAUCUUCUUUUCAUAUGUUCACUGUUUUUUGGGAUGAUGAUGAUGACCAUUAAAGUGUACCAGACCUCUGUUAGAUAUUACAGUGAUGAAACAAUAAAUUGGCUUGCACUUAUGAGUGUAGGCCUGCUAGGUAAACAGAUACAAAUACAAGACAGCCUGAAGUUGUGUAGGAUACUUAUCAAAAUUUAUACAGUUAGAAUAGUCUAUAGUUUAUUAAACAGUACUAUUGUUUGCAUAUUUUGUACGUUCUAAAGGUGAGCACAAUACAGUGCAAAAAGCAACUAUUCAGUGAACUUUAAUGGAGGUAAGCAAAGAGACAAGCGAAAAUAAAGGAAAACAUUAAAAUUUACAGAAACAAAAGUGAAGUGCUGUGAUUAACAAUCAGAGAAUAUUAAAGGUACUUUAGGAAAGAGAUAUUGCUGAAAAAUAGUUUAAGUUAAUUGAUAGACUCUGGUAUCUCAUGCCUGAGACUGAGAGGAAAGCUGCAAAUUGCUUUCAAGUUUUCUUUGACUAUUGCUGUCUUCUGCAAGCUCAUGCUGUCUUCUAUCCUUCCCACAAACUGGGAGUUUGUAAACUAAGAAUUUUCUCACCCAAGAGAGAAGAAACUUGAAAUUAUUUAAAAUGAAGAAGAGCCUGAAUGAAUUAGCAGUGAUGAGCUUAAGGCACAGUACUUGCAGAUGAGUUUAACAGUUGGACUACUUAACAGCAGUGACAUGUAUUUAUAGCAAUGCAGCUAAAGGCACGAUCACCUGGGGAUUUAAUGGGUUUUUACUCAUAGAAUUUCGCACUGACAAUAAUUUGGCCUGGAUCAAGUAUUUGUUUUACAGUUAAUACAAUGGGUAACUCAUUAGAGUGACAAUGAGCAGGCUUCUUAAUGGGAGAGAAAGUUCAGAAUGUGGCAACGUGUGCAAAGGCACAACUCUGCCAUCCUUGUCUCAGGGUAUAUCCUUCCUGCUCUUGUGGUACUUUACCAUGCAUCGCUGUGCUGCCAGAAAGCAAUUAUUAGCUUAUCAUUAUAACUAAAAUUAAUAUGGGAUGAGAAUAAACAAUACACCAGGGGACUCAUUAUUUGUCUUCCAGAUGCAGGGGGUGAAGAAUAUAUGGGAGUAACUGUUUGCCUUACAAUAGUAGUAUUCUGAUGGCCACAAUCCAGGCCCUGACUAAUAUCUUUGAAAUGCUGAGGACAGAAGUUAAACAGGCAUCUAGAUCCCGGACCUCGCUAGGGAACCCCUAAUUAGCACAUGGAGGGCGAAAAGCGAGGGAAGCACUGAAACUUGAAACCAGGCCAAGAGAAUAAAACCCACAGGGUUUGUGGCUAUUGCAGGUAAUAACAAAGGGAUCGUGUCUAUAGAAGGGUGAAGGAGAGAGUCCAGGGAAGGGUAAAUCAAGAAACCAGAAGAUCUGAGGAGGCAGAUUGGGAUCUGGCAGGAGAGGGUUCUGCUGCAUGUUUUGGUCAUGACUUAGGGAAGGCACAGUCACCGAGUGAUGGAUCUGCACCAAGACUUGCCUCGGUCUUUUCUGCAUAAGAACGUGCGGAAGAAUGAUGGUUGGUGCAAGGGGAAGCCAUGGAAAGCCAUGAGUGCCUGUUCAGAAAUCCAGUGGGAAAGAUGAUUCAUGCCAUGUAGUGACACAAGGGCACAAGUGCUGCACUUCAGUCGCUCCACUGAAUUCUAUGGGAUUUUCUGUCUGCUGGAUCACUGGUAAGUCAGGCUCCAUAUACCGAAAGCGUUUGUUUCAGAAAGAUGUAGGAAAUGCUUGGGCUGUGAUCAAGGAAACAGGAAUUUUAACAUUUGUUUCAACCUGUUCCAAAGUUCAUCUUACAUUUCCUUGACCAUUUGUGUAAUCAAUCUGUUAGUGCUCAGUAGAAACUAGGACAAAAGGAUCUGAUCUUUCUUGUGCAUUUGAUGUAAUUGCUUCUAUUUACAGAGGUGGAAUAGAUUCUGCAAAUUCUAGCAGAUAUUUCAUAAGCAAAAAUGUGAAAUGAUACCCAAAAAGAGGAUUAGAAUCGAACUCCUGUAGUAAAAUUAUCUCCCAGUUUUGUUUUUAGGGCAUGUAAAAAUUACUUUGACAUUGGCUUUUGCCAGCAGAGGAGUCCGUUAAAUACAAUCAAUCUCUUAGCUCAUGUCAGGAAGACAGCGAUAGAGAAGAUGACUCUUACUAAAGGUAAGACAAAAUUUAAGUAAUUUUGUAUUUUGUUACAGUGUUUGCAUACAAAAUAAGAUUUCUUCAUGUGAGCUCAUUUUUUUUUUUUUUUGGCUUAUUUUGAGGUUUUUCAACAGAGGUGAUAAUGACCUUCAAAAUGUAAAUUAUACAGCUAAGAACUCAGAUGUGAUGGAAACUGCCUUUUUUGUUUGUUUGUUUGUUUCCUUCUUUCCUUCUAAACAACUGCUUAUUUUCAAGUAAUCAUCACAGCACACCCUAGGUGAACUUGUGUUGCUGUAAACCCUGAAAGGAAUACAGCAGUGGACUGCUUACCUUGGUGAUGAUUUUUUUAGUGUUGGUGUCGUUCAGGCAUUCAGAUGCGUAGUACUAAAUACUAAAGCAUCUAUGCACUUUUACUUUGAGUCAUUAGGAUAGACUCUGGAAAAUGCAAAGCAAAUGCUAAACAGUUGCACUCUGUCAUGAGUCAAUUUUAGUUUUCAGCAUUAAACUUUAGAGGGAAAUAUUCUUCUUUUGAUUUCCUCUGGUUUUUGAAGACAUUUAUUCUGUGCAUUGCAUAUUUAAACAUCCUUUGAAACAGAAGAGUCGAUGCUUCUUUGAGAGAAUGAAUGUUCAUAAGGAUUUUCUUUUAUCAUUGUCCAUUGUUCUGAAGAGCCAUUUCUUACAAUAUUCGUAAUUGCUUGGGUAGAGAGAGAAGAUGCUAUCCAAAUUAAUUGCAGGUGCAUUUUUUCUAAAGCUUUGGGAAGUCAUUGGAUUCAUUAAUGUGGUGCGUUCCAAACUUCUUUGCAAAUUUCUUGCAGAACCUUGUCAUUCAUUAUUUGUAUGUAUAUAUAUAUGUAUUUUUAUAACUACAUUAAGAAUUACUAUCAUUAAGGAAAGAGAUUUAGAGAUCUAGGCUUAUGAUUUCACUGAAUUAUUGAAUAUUUGGUUAAUACUUGAUUUAAAAGAAAAAAGCUUGCUACCCUAUUGAAUGAAUGUUGAUGAAUAGCAUAUUUUCAGAAACAAAGAAUAGCCUGUAAGCAACAGAAAUCAAGCAUGCAUAUGCCAUAGCAAUCACACAGCUUCUCUGAUUUGUUGACCGCUGUUCAAACAAGUUUGAUAACAGCAGUGAAGAAUUACACUAGGAGGUUUGCCAAGGUCUGAAAUACUAAGAUGCGUGUCAGGAAAACUUCUUGUGUAAAUUCCUUACUACUCCUUUUUUAAAUAGCAUUUUCCUGAAAAGAAAAAAAGAAGAAGAAAAAAAAAAGUACAUGCUUCUUAAAAUGUUAAUUUCCUCUAAAAGAUUUCCUCUGCUUCAGGAAGCUGGCAUGCAGCAAACCACUUCUAAAUCAAGCUGCAAGCCGGUACUGUAAAAAAACAAAGAGUUUAUUGGUACCAGACAUUUGUAAAUAAGUAAUUGACACUCAUGCUAUAACAAUAAGCAAUUCCAAAAAAAACAAGGAGCUGCCAGGAUAAACAAGUUUGCAAUGAACUCCAUCCAGUGCUGGAUAUCCAUUGGGGUCAGUCCCGUCAGUGGUGGUCACAAUAACAGCUCUGGGACCAGCUGGAGUUCUGCAGCGCAGCCGUCUCCUGCUUUUGUCUGUUCUUCCAUUCGGAUCCCUAGCCACGGGCAGGCUGCUAGCUGUGGCAGUGGUGUCUGCACAAUGUUCUGAGGGCUGGUGACACAUCCAAAGCCUUGUGAAUAACAUCAAACUGUAGGCACUCUUUGGUAGCAGUGAACAUGUUAAAAACAGUAUUAGAAAAUAGGGCACCUGAGCAGAAAGUUUCUGUUCAAUGCAUAGCAAAAUAUUAAUUUAAAUGAGGGAGUGCAGGCCACCUAUAUUAACUCUGUUCCUUCACUCUUGUUUCCUGCAGCUUCAGGUAGAUGCUGUGCAUCAGACUGGUGAGCAAGAUUAAAUCUCUGAAGGCUCUGGCUGUCUCAAUCUCCAUUGAAGUUGCUGGGAUCUGAAGACACAACUUUCUUAUUACGGUGCUGUUUGCUAUAAGUGUUAAUAUGGUCAAAGGAAGACUACCCACCAAAGACUGUAAGGAACAGUAGCAAAACCUUUUUAUUUUUUACAAACGCUAAUGCUACUUGGGGACCAUUUCAUUCCCCAAGUGUACAUCUGUUUGAGCAAAGGAUUCCCAGAAACAAGCAACAAGAAUAUUGAGACCAUUGCUCAAUAACCACAGCUUUUAUUUGGCAAUAGUUAUUGAGACCUGCAAGGGUUUUCCUGGGCUCAAAACUUGUCUGUUUCUUGUAGCAAUGUUUUCUGUUGGGUCAUAUGGAUUAUUUCAUGUUAUUAGAGCUGAAUACUAGUUGUCUACCAUUUCAGAUUUGCUAGCUUUUUAUCUUGUAGCAAUGUAUUUGUAUGCUGUAAUCUAUAGCAAAAUGCCAUUGUAAUUUUAAUGUCAGGUGUACCCACUGUGAGUCUCAGGUUUGUAUCGCUAUCCAGGGAAUGUGUCUGAGCUCUUUCCUUUUUAAGCCUAGUUGAAGCAGUGCAUCCAGAUGCAUUACUUUCAAAUCUUAUUCUCAAAUGUUUUAGUGGAAAUGAUGUGUGAUCAUUUUAAUCUGGCCUUUAUGUGUUUGACCGGAACUCAGCCUACAUAUUGCCGUGAGACAAGGGAAAUUGGAUGCUUUUACUUUUACAGCCAAAGUAUUCAUAUCCUUCCAGAAAAAAAGAACUAAUCUUCUGAAGCAGCAGGUAAGUAAAAGAUUUGUGGAGAAAUGGGAAAGGACAUUUAAUAUAUUUAAUCUUAUUAUACAUUUUUCUACAUUAAAAGUCAACAGGCUGCAAAUAUAUUUUGCUACAAAGCUUUUUGUAGGAAAUAUCUCUAUAAGAAAAUACAUCUCAUUAAACAUUUCCUGUAAAUAAAUUAUCCCACAUAACUAUGUUUUGUAAGAGGAGAAGGGAGAGGGUUAGGCUAGUGAUAAGAAGAGCCAAAAAUUGCUGAGCCCAUUUCUGCAACCCCACUGCUCCAUUUGGGUUACAUUUUCUUGUACACAUAGUUGAAAUGAAGGCAACAGAGCUCCUCUGUUGAGCAUGUGCUGUCAGUGUAAAUAACACAGACAGUGUUAUUUAAAAGUACAGUUCCUGUACUUUUUUAAUAUCUUGAAAUUAUGCUAUUUCUGAACCUUAUUCCUGUUUUAGGUACACAAGAACUCCUUUGAAAUAACCAAAGUGGAGCUGGUAGGACUGAGUUUGAAGUCUGACUCAGACUGUUAAAAAACAGAAGAGCCCACCCCAGAGCAGUUCCUUAUGGCAAUUAAAAAAUAACUCCAGUAAGGUAAGAGAUAUUGUGAAUUACUCUUAAUUUGCUUUCCUAAGAGUCUAAGGGCAAUGUAUUCUUAUUAGAAAAUCUGAGCCUCAGUGGAUGCAUAAGGUGUAACCUUAAAGCAACCACUGGUAGACAUGUCUCAGUGGAAAAAAGUGAUUUAGGUAUAGGAUGACGUGGUCUCGAAACUACGUAUUGGUGUAUAUAUGUUCAGAACUGAUGAAACAGAAAAGUCUUGUGUGUUACAAAAUGUGAAAAUGAGCAAUUACAAAUGGGUAAUCACAGAUUAGCAGUAGGUCAGUUAUAAAAUCAGACUUCUUAAAAGAAAUAUCAUACUCUUUAUCAACAUCUAUACAAAGGAAUUACUUGUGAACAAGUAAAAUGACAAAAGUUUAAAAAGAACUGUGAGAAAAAAAGGAUAGUCUCCAUGCUUCGACUUCUAACUGCUACACAAACAACAUAGGGUUGUUUCAAUAGUCCAUGUACUUCCAGAAUUCCUGACAGAAAAAUCCAGAGAAGAUCCCUUUAGAAGAGAUCUAGUUCAUAUUAGAUACAUGCCAGAAACUGUUAUGCUGCAUCAUCACAUGAUGCUUAAUAAGUCUUUUGUGGCUGUACCAUAUUUUCUUGCAUUGUUUUCUGCAGGAGAGGAAGUGCUCACAAGAGCCAACUCUUUUCUUCUCUUCGCUACCUCUAAAAAACAAAUCCAUUUACACUUCUGCAGAAUGCAAUCAGAUGUAGCACUAAUAGCAAACUGUAGCCCAUUGCUACUAUUGAAAAGUAAAACUUUUAGUUGAUAGCAGUACAGUCUAAAUUCCCCAACAAGUGCCUACAUCUUCUGUUAUAACAGUAACAGUGGCACAAUUUCAUAUCUCUUAAUGUUAGAUAUUCAGCACUCCGCUGUCUCUUCGGAAAUGUCUAUAAUGCAGGUAUGUUUAGGAAAAGAAAGUAUAUUUAGGUCUAAUGAGCAACUGCCUGUAUAUAAUUCUGGAUUCAGCAUGCAUGUAUUUGUUUCAUCUGCUCAAUCCAAUGUACACUAGCAGUAAACUGAGACAAAUACAAGCGAUUAAGUGCCCUACUAUGACAUUGAACUACAUAAAGCAUUUCAGUUCGCCUAAAUAUAGGAAAGAAAACCCUGUUUAAAUGACUCUGAUUAGAGAAACUGCUUGCUGUCUUGAAAUCAUGAGAUGGCAAAUUUUCACCUUUUUGUGAGGGCCUACAAAAUUUAGGAUUCUUGUAGCAGUCCUGCAAGCAUGCUUUCUUUGCUGAAGUGUCAGCCCUGUAUGACAAGCGUAUGGAGAUUCACAGUAACUGUACUUCUAUCCCUCGCACCUGCAAUGAAUAAUAUUUUAGUCACUGAUAAUGUGUUGACAGACAAGUCUUCCUGGAAUGCGCUGCUUCCUAUAGGAGUACAAUGUAUACAAUUUAUUUAGCAGGCACAGCCAUUGUGGAAAGCCACUGUAGCCCUUAUACUGGCCCCUGAAACAUCAUGGGACAACACAGCAAGGUAAAUGGCAUUAAUUUCCACUGUACUUAUUUGCAUACUAGCAUUUCCCACAGACUGUAGGAGUUAUUAGUGGGAAAUCUCUGGCUGCUCUGGUGUUUUCCACCAGCUCAAAAAGAAAUGCAUUUGAUGUGACUUUUCUCUACUCCUACCUUGUUACUUUAGCCAUUCCUCUUUCACAUGCAGUCCUCAUUUCCCAGCAUGUUGUAACACAUUAAAUACAGAAAACCAGUCACUUAAUACUUAGUACUAUCUACCCUUCAGAUUUUCUGACACACGUGAAGUCUUGAUUUAGAAGAAGAGGUUGCAUCUUUCCAUACUUUACAAGACAGCCCUUUGGCACAGUCACAUCGUUGGAAAAUCUCCAGUCCAUGGGAGCCUUUCUUGCGCUGCUUGGUGCACACCUCCCCCUGAUGCAAUACAGGCUUGCAAAUUUUGGUCCAGAAAUGGCGAGCACAGCAGUGUCCCUCAAUACAGUCUGAUGACCGCAGGCAGGGAUCACCUUCAUGUCCUAAAAAGAGCAAUCAAACUGUUUUUACCUCAGGGGAAAAUAGAAAAAGACAAAUUCAGAGUAGACUGAUGCAAAUGAAGCUCAGAAAAAGGAGAGAUGAUAUUUCCAUCUGUGGCUUUUUGAGGUACAUAAAGAGACAAGAAAAGAGAUGAAUUAGGGAGGUUCAGAAAAGUAACUGAUAAGAACUGUCACAAGACUUAGUAAGGAGAAAUUCAGCUACAGGUUUGUAGACAAAAUGAUAAAUGCAUAAAGACAUUACUCUUACAAGAGGAGGAUGUGGACAAUCUUGUAUAACUGAAAACUGAAAUUUCAAUCCCCUCUGAUGUGGGGAAGAAAGCAGAUGCUAUUCCAAUCGGGGGAAACUGGUGGUCAAUAUUACCUUGCUUUCUGAACUGUGCUCUGAAUUCUCUUAAUAGAGAUUCACAACCUAUGAACUUACUGUGUAUUCCUGGUGUGUGCUGCUGUAUUUUAACAGCAUAAUGUUAUUCAUAGCAGAACGAUGAAGUGCAAAUGUGAUCUUACCUUUAAUGUGCGACAGCUUGGACUGUGCCCUCCCUAAGUUUUGCCAUCCCAGAUCCUUGCUAGUAUAAUGACUGUUCUUCUUGUUGCGUGGCCCGUCUAGUGCAGGGAUGUGAGGCGUGAGGAUGUUUUCAGUUACUGGUACACAAAUACCUGUGAGGAAAAGUCAGUCAGUUAUAGAUUUCAACAAGAGGAGAAGAAGCUGAGGAACAUACUUGGACUAGAAUCAGCACUGAGACCAUUAAAGUGAGGGGGGUGCUGGGCUCAUCUUUGGCGACUCUCAGCUCUAAGCACAGCUCUGUCGCUGAUCCCUAGCCCCUGUCUUCACUACAGCUGCACUUCACUCUAUCACACAGUCUUGCAGUCUGACCACCUGGAGACUGUCUUGGAGACAUCUCUCCAGGUCUCAAGAGAAGAGUAUGGGAAUGCAAGCAGUACAGUUACAACAGAAACACCAAGAGGGAGUAGCUCAGGGAUUCACUGGGUCUAUUUUGCUUCCUUAAGAAUAUGGGCUCUUUGCAGAUUUCCAGAGAAUUGAACAAUGCUGAACGUAGUGUUGGAAAAAUGCUGUGAUUUCAGUCUGUGGCUUCAUCAUUUGGGGGUGUUUCUCCACAACAAAAGAGAAAAAAGUCUAGUAGUACAGAAGCCUCAAUCAUAAAAAUACUAUUAAAGAAAGUGGAGAAAAGUUGUAAAGAUACAUUAAAAAACAAUUACUUGCAGUGCAAGUAAUUAUGCAAGUUAAUGGAGUAGAAGAAAUGAUAACUAUGGCUUCAGGUAUGAGUGUGCUUCAAGGAGAGGAGGGAGGCGAAGAGGCAGGGGAGACUAAACAGCUUCUAGCAUGGCAGAGCUCUUGGAUUUUAGCUCACAAUGUACUGUUGGAGCUGAUUCUCUUUUCCCUCCUCUUCUCUCUUCCCCCCUCUUUCCAAGCCUAGGACUAUCCAGUUCUACAUUAAUAUGACAACCAUGAAUCCAGUCACUCUAAUUUUACUCUCACAUGGCCCAUGUUUCUACUUUGCUAGUUCAGCACCCAGCUUCCCUUGUCCAACAACACAAUGGAUAGAUAGCUUUUAUACAGACUGAUUAGACUGGUUUCUUAUGCAGUUUUGAAAAUCAGAUCUUAGAUUUUUUUUUUUAGAAACAGAAGAAAAAGAUCAUUCAACAACUUUUCUAAGCCAAAGGAAAAGGGGGAGAACAACUGGAGCUGAUGUUAUUUUCAAUAUCUGAAGGGAUUUUAUCUUGGUUUAGAAAAGGAACUGCAGUCACACAGGAAAAAUACCUCUGCUGAGAAAACUUCAAAAUCUAUUUUCAGUAGAUGCUAUCAAAAUGCUGAUUUUUUUGGAGGGAAAACAAGACAUGAAUGACAUACCGUUGUUGCAGCGAUUCCCAGGGCAGCACAUGCCAUCUCUGUGGCACCUUUUCUUCUUCCUCCGGCACAACAUGCACGCAGAAGAUGCUUGAUGAGGACUGUGACAGUACCGCCCAACUUCACAUUCCUUGUCAUUGGUGCAAGGAUAGACCUGGAGGGUAAAUGAAAAAGUUUGCAAUGAUGCAGUGUGUAAGACAUGCACAUAGUCCAUUAAAAACAAAACAAGAAAACAGUUGAAGAAACAUACACGUGAGUUACCGUUCACUAAGCUAGGAGAUGCAGUUAUCUUUGCAGCAGCCUUGGCCUUGGGCUUUAGCUGCUGGUGGAGCUGGAUCACUGCCUCAAGAAUGACAAAACUACAACCCGCUCCUUUGGUGGUUUCAUCUUUUCUUGCCUUAAAUAUAUGCUAUCACAACAGAACUAAUAUUUUUGUAGGUUUCAAGAUACUCAGGCCUCUCAUUCAUAGACAAGAGUUUAAAAUUCUACAAUGAAGAGAAACAGAGCCAGAAGACUCCUCUCAGUCAUGGAAAACACACUCUGCAACAGGUAACAUUUGCAUUUAGGUCAGAACUCCAAGGAGGCAUUUUUCUUUGACACAUGCCAGAUAGAAUAAGAGAUUCACCAUUCUCACAGUGAACACAGAAUCAUAAAGGUUGGUAAAGACCAAUCAUCAACCCAUCACCACCAUGCCGCUAAACCAUGUCCCUCAGUGCCACAUCUCCAUGUUUCUUGUAAACCUUCCAGGGACGGUGACUCCACCACCUCUCUGGGCAGCUUUCUGAGAUGAAAUUUUUCUUAAUAUCUAACCUGGACCUCCCUUGACACAACUUAAAGCCAUUACCAAGCAGUGCAAGGCCAUGAAUUUUGAAGCAGUCCACAUCUUCACCAGACUGGUGCAAGCUUCUUCACAAUUGCACCAUUCCACUCCAACCCAUACCAUUCAGACUUUUUGGAAGCAAACAUCUCUGAUCAGCAUUUAGCUUAGAUGGCCUUUACUUCAUUUAGGUACUUACUAUUCUCCUUAAGCUUGCCAACUGCUGAAUAGCAUCGCUAUGAUAUAUAGCACAGACUAUGUUAUACAACACAAAAUCUCUUGAACGUAUAAUUGCCUAAAAGCACACAGACAUACAAUUCUCCCUUUUUCAUCAAAACCAACAUUAUCCUAUAGAAAAAUCGACUGAUUUCUAAAAAGAAAAUGUGAAGGCACUGUAUUCUCCCAUUAAGAAGAGAAAGAUAAGUUUAUUCCUACAAAAGAAGACAUAAUGCUUUAAAAAGACAUAAUGACACCACCAUUUUCCAGGAUCCCUUUUGCUGAUUCCCACACAGCUUCAACUAUGCUCACUGUCUGCAGCUAAUUUUACUGCCCAUUAAAUUAAUCAUAGAUUUGUUUCCAUUUCUCAAAAUUAUCCUUGAGGAAUUUGUUUAGAUAAAAAGAUGAGAACAAUUUGGGGCAUUUUCUGGAAAAUGAUGUUUACACCUCCUCAACUGAUUUUCUGCAGCAUUUUAAAUGAAUCAAAGUGUUGCUUUUACUGUACUGCAUUUAUUGAUUAAACACAAACAAAAAUCUCAAUUGACUAAUUUUCAAUGUGGAAUGAUUACUUUUAAAAUAUUUUUUAAUCCAGUCUUGAUUAUACUGCUCUCAGAAAAGAAAAACUUGGAUGAUGUUGAGAAUUUGCUAUGAAAAGUGUUCUUUUAGAUGGAGGGUGGCCUGUUUAUCUGUCUUUUUGCUACUCUCUUGAAAAUUGUAGAAGAAACAGGAGGUGAGAUAAAAACACGCUAGUGCCUUUAGCUGGGGAGAACCAUGCCAUUUUCCAUAUGAUUUCAUUAAUUGUAUUCUUUUUCAAAAUUCAUUUUACAUUAACUAAAGAGCUGGCUGGAUAUUUCCAGAGUGCUGCUGCUCCAUUACUUCUGCCCUAUGAAUAUAUGCAUCUUUGAAGAAUGAAUCCAGAGCGCAGCUGUUUGGAGAACUUGACGCAUGUAUAAGGCUUUCUCCCUUAAGAAUAAGUAUUUCCUCUCAAGUUCAUCCUCAUUCAUCAAAGAAGGCCAAAUCUUUUAGCUAGGAGUAGUGAUUAGACACAAAUGCAAGUGCUCACCUUUGUGGUACUCUCAACGUAUAAUUGGAUUUUCCUUGUUCUAGCAAACCAGACCGAGAUAAAGUGCUCUCCCUUCAACCUUAUCGGUCCUUUUCCUCAUUUUUUCCAGCAAGAAAUAAUUAAUCCUAAUGAACAAUUAUGAUAUAGUUAAAUUGGGACCUUACUAAACUAAAUAACAGAAAAUUCAGAAAUUUUUUUUGUGGAUCUGUGCAUGGUUUUACUGAGUUUGGAAAAUACUAACACUGCUAGCAGGGGAAAAUGCAAAUAAAAAACAGAUGAACAAGCUGUAACCUGGAGAUGAAGGCAUUUUAGAUCCUUGUCUGUCAUCAAGACCUUCAUAACCGCAUCUUUUUUCCAAUAUGGGCAUGUGGUAUACACCUGCAACUUGUCAGCAAGAAACCUACUUGCAGUUUUCUUUUGGUUCCUCAAAUAGCUUUUUUAAAAAAGCUGAUCCUAAAUGGUGCUAAUGACUAUCUGGCAUACCGUAUCUACUGUCUGUUUUACUUUUGGCUUUAACUGACAUUUAAAUGAUACACCUAAUUGCUAGAUCUCAACUCAAUCUUUAGGAAUGGUUAGAAGUUACAAAAGAAGUGUUAAAAAUUGCUGAGAUAAGUGACACAACACAGCCUUAAGUCUAACUCCCGAGCCCUGGCCUAAGUAGAGAUGACAUUUCUGAAAUUAAAAAAUAAUCCAAAACAUUUAUCUACCUAAGGGAAAUGACUGCAUCAUACCCACAAAUUGUCUUUUGUUACAUGCAGCUUGGACAACAACUAUCACGUCUAUUCAAAACUUUAAACAACCAGCUGCCAGCCAGCUCCAUGAAAAACCUUCUUGCAAAUUGCCUGAUGCCAUCAAUUGCCUUGAUCUUUCUUCCAAAACCACCAUCUAUUUGAUAUCCUAGUUAUCAGUCACAGGGAGCUUUAAAUAAAAAUGCCUACACAGCCUCGUCUCCUAGUCACUAGACACUCAUUAGAAAUAACUUAUGCCUUUUGAGAUGCAAUUUAUCUAUCUUCACGGUAUUCAGUAAAAUACGAAAACAAAACAAAAUAGAGCAUGUACCUAGUCUUGGCUAACAGCAGGGAAAAUGUGUUCAUAAUUGUCCUGUUGUCAGUAGUAGUUGAGCGUCUUUGUAUAAGUAAGUAUAUAUAUUUUAAAAUACAGCAAGAAGAAAAUAUAUCUGUAGAAAAGCAUAUACUAACAAUUGUCCAUGCACAACUCAAGGUUUUCAGAAACUCCUAUACCUCAGUGCCUAAAACACAGUCUUUAGAUUGAGAGAAUAGCAGAGAACGUUUCCUAUAUAUGAUGCAAAGACCCAAAUCAGUCCCAGAUGGAGAGGGAAAAAGCAAGCUGUAAACCAGCACUACUUCCCCAGCAAUGAUAACUAAUUCUACAAGGCACUUCAUCCUUUCACAUUCUUCAGCUAUUCAUAUCAUUUUCUGGUCGUAAAUCUCUAUCCACUAAACAUGGCUUUGAUAUUAUGGGAAACCAGAUGAAACUGAGAUAAAAUAUGCAGCACUCCCUGAAGCUGCAUUUAAGCAAUCUUAUUUAUUUUUUUUUAGCCCAGAUUACAGGCCAUCAUGUUGCUGAAGCAUGGUAUAACCUACAUUUGCCCGUGAUAUUCACAUUUUCAGAUUGUUUAGUCUGAUGAAGAGCAUUGAAGAAGAUGCUUUCUCCUCAGUCAUUCCAAUUAGUUUUGUAUUCUUGUAUAGAAGAUAAAUACUGAAAUGGUGCUGCUCUUUCUGAGCCAAGAUGUCCACCCUACAUCUAUCAACCAAAGCUAACCUUUGCCAGGUAGGUUAGAGCAGCACACAAAUGUUAAUCUUUUCUUUUUAAGAGAGAGGGAGUAUGAAACUCCAUUCCUGUCCUUCCUGAAUUUAUACUCAAAAUAGCAAGAGUGCACUAUGGAACUACUCAAAGAAAAUGAUGCAGAUGAUAGAAGGAAAAAUCUGUUCUGUUUUGUUUUUUUUUUCCAAUCCUUCCAAGACUACUACUAAGGCACUUAUUUUUGCAUUAAAUUCACAGUGAGGUUGGGAUAUCUACCUUUCAUAUACACCUAAUGCCAUUCCUUGAAUUUGCAGAGUGUACAGAAGUGAGGUUUAUUUCUGCCUUUGCCUUCCCCUUUUGCCAGAGAUCUACUAUAGCACCUUUCCUCAGCUAAUUGGCAAUGAGGCUUUCUUGAUAGUUUUCCUGGAGUCAUUUACUCUCUUGCAAAUUUUAUGUGGUCACCCUGAACCACAGAGUUUCACCACAAGCUGAAAUAGCACAAGUGCUGGAACCAUUGUGCUGUGGAGUCAAUCAGCCCCAGUCUCUCUGUCUGGCACUACAAAACGUAAUGCAGAAGCACAAGGGAGGAAGACAGAUGUCUAAUGUGCUGAAGGGCGAGUGAAUAGUCUGAUGGCAAGCACUUUACUGAGCUGUGGGAGAUAAGGGCUUGAAUUUCAGCUUGGCCUCCAGCAUAUAUUUGAAAACAGUACUCCCAGCCAGCGCCUUAGUCACCAGGCUCUCAUUUGCUCAUAUUAUGAGGUCUCAUUUGUUUUCAUGCUAAAGCUACUCCACACUGUACUAUCAAGCUAUGUCAGAAAAAAACAGGAAGAUCAACUGGCAUUUUUACCUGAGCUGUGUCAUCACUUAUCCAGCACAAGUAGUCCUAAACACUGCUGGCUUCAGAUCCACCUCCAACACUGAGAAGAGCUGUACUUAAAUAGGUGAUACGGUGGAACAGAUAUCACUACAGACUCCCCCAGAAACACCUCACUUUUUGUUUGUUUUUAAAAUAUCGUAAAGUCCAAGUGCAGAGACAGUUCUGACAGAUGAUCAUGGCUACUACCACUUCCAUCAGAAGCAGCAGCAAGGAGGUUAUUCAGUAUUCUUUUUCUUUGGAUGAUGAGCAGCUAUUGAAAAGUCUCACAUAAGGAAGGGGCUACCAAGGGAAGUGGUGGAGUCACCACUCCUGGAGAUAUUUUAGAGACAUGUGGUUAUAGUACCUAGCCUUGGUAGUGUUAGGUUGGACUUGAUGAUCUUGAAGAUCUUUUUCAAUCUAAAUGAGUCUAUGAACCACAUGAAUAAUAAGAUCGCUGCGCUUACUGUACUGGACACCUGGACAGCUUCUCUAACAGUUAUCACGUGCUGGUUACUGGGAACUGAGCUGAAGAACAGAAGAAAAGCCCGUACAGCUGGGAAGUAAGAGCACUACAAAUCCACCAGGUCAACCCUUCAUUGCAUACACAGUUGUCAUGUCAAAGGGCUAGCAGCUAUUGCAAAGUUGAGACAGAGGGCACCAGGAAAGGGACACACGGAUUAUCCUUGGAAUAGCCUUGCUUCCUAGGUACCAGCAUAUUAGAAAUCAAAUUUAAGCAACUACUCACAGGCUUGUUCAUCCCUUGUGAUACGUAGUUAGUAAUACCCUGUGCAAAUAUCUGUACCAGUAGGUUAGGCAGUCACAUCCAGAAAUGCCUUUUUCUGCAGUCAAAAAAAAACAAAACAAACAAACAAAAACAGCAAACACCUGUUUUUAGCUCACCUACACACACCAUGUUUGUGAGACAGUUUACCACCAGUUGGUACUGGAACUUAGUCUAGUACUCACUUGUUCAUAAUGAAGAAAAGGUUGUUUUCCCUAUUUCCAUUAUUUUUAUAAAAUUUAAAGCAAUGGCUGUAAAGUGAGUGGAAGCCCACCUCUCUACAGCCAGUGUGCUAGCUGGAUGAUCACAACUGAGCUAUAGAGGAGAGAACAAAGUUUCCUCCCUCCAGCUACAAAAUAAACAAUAGAGCUUGUUGGUCAUAGUCUCGGGACUAUGCACAUUGCUUAAUAUCCCACAGCCAUCAGGCACGAUGAAGCAACCAACUGGCUCAAUCCUAGUGAACACCUCUGCCCUGUCCAAAGCAGGACAAGGAGGAGAAUGCUUUGUCCCUGAAGAGUCAACGCAUGAAAUAGCCACAGGAAUGCCAGGUCUGCUUUUGCUUUUCUCUCUCUCUGGAGAACUAGUUAAUCCAAAGUUUUAACCAAAUAGCCCAAAAUAAAGAACAUUUACAAAGAAUGCAAGUUAUUGAAUGACUCCUUAGUUAGACCUGAUCCUGAGCAGAUCCUGUCUUUUACCAGAUCUACAUUGAUGGGAAGGAUACACACACCACAUGUGGCCUGUAGAGCUAGAUAAAUACGUCACGUGUGGGAUUUGUCCCACUAGGCAAUUUGGAGAGGGAAUGAAGAUUCUCUCUGUGAAAAUCAAUGAGAAGACUUAAUGCGAUCUCACAGGACACAAACCUUUGCAACAAUGGAAAUAAGAGCGCUUCACUCAAAACCACAUAAAUUGGAUAAAGAAAAAAUGGAAGAAAAAAUUAACAAACAAAGAAAACUCUUUUCCUACAGCUUUUUUUUUUUUUUUUUCCUGCAAGACAACUGCACUGCUUUCUGAUAGCUUCUCAAACAUAUUCAGACAAUCCAUGUCUUACUGACAAACUUCGCUCCUCUUUCUCCUAUCUGUGAAGUGAGCAUUUGAAUUAAGAUGCGGAUGGGAAAUGAUUGUCAUUUAGUACUAUUUUGUUUUUAAUCCCACAUGACAAAAGAGCUUAUCAGCAGCCAUCUGGAAUAGUACAGUUUUCCCACAGCACUGCUGAUGUUGCUAUUUUCUAUUCUUAGCUCAACACAAGCAUAGAUGAUAGCGAGGGAUCUCGCUGUGCACAAGCAGAAUGCCGCAGUUAAUUUAUCCCAUGGAGGAAAUCACGCUGUGCUCUCAGACAGCUCCAGACAUGGAUCCGGACUCAGACUGAUCUCACCAGAAACUCUCAACCCCCUGUGACUGCUAUGGCACAUAUUGUUCCUGAAAGUAAAAUUCUGGUUAGUUGCAAUGAAACAGAUUUACUCUGUUCAGUUGCCAUGACGAGCUAAACAAUUCAGUUUUUCUUACCAAGCCUCUUUCUUGUUAAAAAAAUAAACGUCUCUGACCCACUUCUCUGCCAGACCUAGAGAGAGAAAAGCACCAUCUUCUGCUGCUAGAUUAAGCACAGGCACUUUCUUAUAGCAAUAACUUAUUUUUAACUCUUCAGCUUAAAACAACACUGCUGUUUAUGAGGUCUGAUUCACAGAUUGACAUAGUGCUACAUCAUGUAUGUGUAUGCUGCAGCCUCCAAAGAUCAUUCCUUCCAACUGCGUGGCUAAUGGCCCCAGAAGCCUGCAUUAUUAAGACAAUAAAUAUUCAUGUUUGAAAGUAAUACUCAAUCUACUGCUAGACCACCAGGGGAAGAACAUUUCUUAAACAUGCAGUAGUCCAGCUCUCAUGAUUUGCUAGAGCCAAAGAAAACUCAGAUCUUAACAACCCUAAAAACAAACCUCAGUGAGAUCUCUCUGAACAGGCAAGGCUGCAGGAGUCACGUGGGUCCUGACUCAGGCUUUCCUCAAUCCCAUCAAAAUGUCAUGGAAAACAAUCUCCAGUUCUGCAAGCAUGGAAUGAGCUAUAUUUUCAAAUAACUUAAAGGCAAACACACUAUACCCAAAAUAUAUUCAUAUGUAUGUUUUUAUGAUACAGAACAACAUAAAACUACUACCAGGAUAUAGUAUAUCUAUGUAUCAUAGAUCCCAAGGCAGCACAGCUAUGGGUCUUCCUGUUCUAUCACACCUUUAAGACAAAUUAUCGACCUCAGAAUCAUAUUGGUGUCAUUUUACUGAAUCAUCCCAUUUCCAAGAAAACAUAUUGCAUUUCCUCUGCACUGUGCACACUGAAUACAUGUGCUCAAGUUUUCCCUCCCUCUCAUGUUUCAUGACCUUGGGAUUACCUAGCAGUGCUUCCAUCUCAACAUUUGGAGAGACCAGGAGCAUCCUAUGUUGCAAACACAAAUCUUGAUUGGUACCUUACAAAAGACAUGAUUAAAAGAAGGUUCAAAAGUUUGGGAAACAGUCGGUUUGACUCCAAAUUUUAUGGGCAUUGUCACUGCAUGAUUCAUACUGCCUAGCAAACGACCAGCAGUAGUGUUACUGCAGAGAGCAUCAAAACAAUGUUAGGUAAUCUUUCAAGUCAACAAUGUAGUGCUAAAUCAGCGUGACAGAAAAACUCUAGAUCUUGAUUUUAUGUCAUUUUUGAAUUCAUCACAAAAGACUGCUUGAAGAAUAAAGGUUUGUUAGCACACACUUUGUUCUAUGUCCAGCCUUUUCAGCAGACUGUUCUUGGCCUUUUAUCUCUGCCUUUUCCCCACCCCUUUUCUGAUGGUUUUGCUUUUUAGUUUUGUCUCUAAUUGGCUAUUUAUCAUCUGUUUCAGAGUAGGAUUCUUCAGGCUUUUUGAUCAGCAUGUUUACUGCUAUGGAUGAACAGUGGGUUGCCAAAAAGAGCUUUCCCUCUGAAUCUAUUAAUUCCUGAAGUAUGGGUUAUUUUAUCCAGAUAUAUUAUCCAGUUGGAAACAGCUAGCAGAUCCUACACCACAGAAAGCACCAGGUAUUAAGCCACACGUAGAUAUUCAGAUAUUGCAGUUGGGAGUAGAAUAACUUUGCUGGGAACUGGCAGCAAGUUGCUGUUUGAACACCUGGGUCUGAAUGUCCCCAGGUUAUGAUGAUGCACUUUCAAGGUGGAGCUUUUAUUGGGAACCAUCUCUGUGCAAGCAUACAUUCAGCAAGAAAGAUGAGAUGACAGCUUUACCUUCUAUAGUACUGCUACCGAGGAAACGAACUUCCUUUGCUUUUAAAUUUUCACAAAGUCUAGAAAAAGGGGGAAACCCUGUCAUAUUGAAGUCAGUGCAAAAAUUCUAUUUGUCUGCUCUGAAGUCUGGAGACAAAAUGCUUCCAAGUUAGGAACAUUUGUGCAAUGUCUGCAGUCCUCAUCCUGGAAAUUAUUCAUAGGUAUUCCUUGCAGAAUACACUUUACACUGCAGAAUGCACAGCAUUUAAGAUACCAGUUUUCAAAAUGCAGUUUCUCUAGUCCUCCUAUUCAUAAGGACAGCUCUAAAGAAAACAUAAGUUCAUGUCAGCUGGAGAGACAGCCAGAUGCUGAAUGUCUGAGAGGGAUGAACCGCAGUCUCCACUCAGCAGACUUCUGACUGCAAUCUGACAUUGAUACUGAAUGUCAGCAUUAUUAAUCCUCUCCCUGAUGGUCGUUUAUGUGGGAACACCUGGCUCAUAUGCUUCUCUUUCUAUCCCCAGUUCUUUCUCUACACAUCAAAAACCACCACUGUCAUCUGAGAUUCAAAACACCCCUGUCCUGUCUCUUCCUAUUCUACAUGAAACCCUCUGCACCGUGAUAGUUGUUACCACUCUUUGGGGGGGGAGGAGUAAAAUGAGAGGGACCAAGUCCUGAAUCUUCAACUCCAAAGCACUUACAAAGAUAGAAAAUCAGGCAUCAAAAUGAGCUAGCCCAGCUUUAAUAUCAGAACUGACUAUGCACUGGUUCCCACUCUCCUCAUUGCAACUGCAGGAAAACUCACACUAUGAGAGCCACAGCUCCUCACCCUGGCCUGCUGCAGCAACAGUUAUGCAUGUACAAGGGGCCAGCAGUGCCCAUGCACAGUGGGACCACCUGCAAUGGAGCAGCUGUCCUGGGGAAGGUCUUGGACACAGACCCACGCGGCUCAGGCAACCUCUGUCUGUAGUUAGACAUGCACUACUGCCUGUUUGACUGACUCCUCAGCUACAGUAAAAGCAAAAAUUGUAAUAUGGGGCUAUUAAGGCAAAUUAUCACACUCUACUCAAAGGAGGACAAAGACAGCAGAAAAGGAAAGGACCCUGACAGACAGUGACAUUAAAAAGUCAUCGUGCUCUUAUUGUAUGAUUAACUUAGACUUCAGCCUGUGGUAAAAAGCUUAGCAAUCAAGGUUUCAACACUAUUUACCAUUUUUUUCCUUUUCUUUUAAAAUGUUCCUAGCUAAUUUUGCACAAACAAGAAAACAUGAACAACACAGCAAGGCAAGAAUAACUUGUGAGUAAAACCAGAUGAACACUAACAUAUUUACAUAGUGUAAUGACUUCACUAUUAAUUCAAACAAACCCAGGCCCCAAUUCUCAGAAGACUGAGCUGAGCACAUGUGGUCCAGGAGACAAGAACAGGGUGGCUCAGACUGCACUGAUGUCGGCAGCCCCUGAGCAAGUAGGGGCUGCUCAAAGUUUCAGUCUACAAUAGCCACUGAGGGACCAUCUUUCAUUCCAGACAUCAUACUCUGCCUACACCCUCUUCUUGCUCAUGAAUUAACUAUAUAUAGAUCAGAUCUGGUCCCCAUCCUCAGAAUAAGCUGAUUCUGCAGCUAAGAAUUCUAUUUAUCCUUCUCCCUGCUACAUUUUACUGUAUCUUCUGAAAAUACAUCUUUUAAAGCACACUCUUCUGGUCUGAAAAUAAUAUUCUUUAUGUGGAGCUAUGGAAUCUCUUCCUUGUUCCUAGAUGUCUUGGAAGUUAAUCAACAUAAAGCCAUUAAAAAGCUUAAUCCCCUAUGCUUGGCACAACAUCAGUCUGAGAAUGGUUUCUUUGUAACAGCCUUUGGAAUAAAUAUCCAUUCAAGAUUUGUUUUUUCCUUAUACUGGUCACCCGCACUUUACAGUGGGUGGCCCUUUCAUUUAUCCCCAUUACUGUACUUCCACUUCUGAAGCUAAGCCAGACACAGCAACCUGAUACUACUUUUUUGUUCAUGCAACUCCAUUGUAAUGAAAAGUUCCACAUAUAACUGAUAUUUGUUGGGAAAGCCAAAGAAACAGGAACCAUGGUAAAAUUGCACCACCUUCUUGACAACUUUAAUUCUGAAAGAGUUGGGUUCUCCAGGAGAACACUUUGUUGGCAAGCAUGUUUUCACAUUUAGAUGCCUCGGAAUACAAACACAGUCAGUCCAUUCCUGAACACCUCUGGUUGGUAGUAUUUGCAUGACAGCC
This 21235-nucleotide long non-coding RNA is filed under the name Gallus gallus (chicken). Lineage: Eukaryota; Metazoa; Chordata; Aves; Galliformes; Phasianidae. The record is from RNAcentral.